UACGUAGGGUGCAAGCGUUGUCCGGAAUUAUUGGGCGUAAAGAGCUCGUAGGCGGUUUGUUGCGUCGGCUGUGAAAUCCCGAGGCUCAACCUCGGGUCUGCAGUCGAUACGAGCAAACUAGAGUGUUGCAGGGGAGACUGGAAUUCCUGGUGUAGCGGUGAAAUGCGCAGAUAUCAGGAGGAACACCCGGGUGGCGAAAGGC
This 202-nucleotide ribosomal RNA is filed under the name uncultured bacterium. RNAcentral describes it as "partial 16S ribosomal RNA". It matches the Rfam family "Bacterial small subunit ribosomal RNA", at positions 524 to 722 of the family's 1533-position model. The record is from RNAcentral.